This 482-nucleotide ribosomal RNA is filed under the name uncultured bacterium. Its description in RNAcentral is "partial 16S ribosomal RNA". It matches the Rfam family "Bacterial small subunit ribosomal RNA", at positions 30 to 507 of the family's 1533-position model. The record is from RNAcentral.
AUUGAACGCUGGCGGCAUGCCUUACACAUGCAAGUCGAACGGUAACAGGUCUUCGGAUGCUGACGAGUGGCGAACGGGUGAGUAAUACAUCGGAACGUGCCCGAUCGUGGGGGAUAACGAAGCGAAAGCUUUGCUAAUACCGCAUACGAUCUACGGAUGAAAGCGGGGGAUCUUCGGACCUCGCGCGGACGGAGCGGCCGAUGGCAGAUUAGGUAGUUGGUGGGAUAAAAGCUUACCAAGCCGACGAUCUGUAGCUGGUCUGAGAGGAUGAUCAGCCACACUGGGACUGAGACACGGCCCAGACUCCUACGGGAGGCAGCAGUGGGGAAUUUUGGACAAUGGGCGCAAGCCUGAUCCAGCCAUGCCGCGUGCAGGAUGAAGGCCUUCGGGUUGUAAACUGCUUUUGUACGGAAUGAAAAGGUGCCUUCUAAUAAAGGGCGCUCAUGACGGUACCGUAAGAAUAAGCACCGGCUAACUACGUG